CCUACGGGAGGCAGCAGUGAGGAAUAUUGGUCCAUGGACGGAAGUCUGAACCAGCCAUGCCGCGUGCAGGAUGACGGCUCUAUGAGUUGUAAACUGCUUUUGUACGAGAAUAAUAGUUCUUACGUGUAGGGCUUUGAAUGUAUCGUACGAAUAAGGAUCGGCUAACUCCGUGCCAGCAGCCGCGGUAAUACGGAGGAUUCGAGCGUUAUCCGGAUUUAUUGGGUUUAAAGGGUGCGUAGGCUGUUAGAUAAGUUAGCGGGUAAAUGUCGGGGGCUAACCCCUUGCCUGCCGUUGAUACUGGUGGACUAGAGAGCGGAUGCAGCAGGCGGAAUGAGUAGUGUAGCGGUGAAAUGCUUAGAUAUUACGCAGAACACCGAUUGCGAAGGCAGCUUGC
Molecule: ribosomal RNA, 394 nt
Filed under: uncultured bacterium
Lineage: Bacteria
Description: partial 16S ribosomal RNA
Rfam family: Bacterial small subunit ribosomal RNA
Source: RNAcentral